AUUUCAUUAGUUUAAUUUUAAAAUAUAAUUUUGAAGUGAUUAAGAUUUAUGAAAUA
This 56-nucleotide transfer RNA is filed under the name Nematodirus oiratianus. Its description in RNAcentral is "tRNA-Phe". The record is from RNAcentral. Lineage: Eukaryota; Metazoa; Nematoda; Chromadorea; Rhabditida; Molineidae.